GAGGAAGCAGAGCGGCGAGUGUUCAAGUCGUCAGGGGGCGGAUGAGAAGAGACCUCUUUUUUUAAAGAGUCUGAGGCGGACUUGGGAUCGAUCGCGCCGCCGGCCCCUACCACCGCUUCUUCGGCCGGCGCAGUCGCCGUCGGCCGCGGCAACCGGGCCUCCGCCUCCUCGCCUUCGCGGACGCAAGCGACCGGAAGAGGUUCCCGGACGACGUCGCGCCGCUCGGCCGCCGCGGCGCCCGCCGCGACGGCGGCAGGCCGCGGCACCGCGCCAACGUCCCCGCGCUGUAGCACGCCGGCGCCCCGGUCGCGUCCCCGGCGAAGGAGAAGAGGAAGGGGCCGGAGGAGCGCGGGCGGCGGCGGCCGCCGGCGCAGCCCCUCGAGCGGCUGGAGCCGUGGUUCUUAGGGCAGGAGAUGGAGCUCAAGGGCGUCCCCUCCUACUUCGACGACCCCUGCGUGCACAUGGGGUUCUUGUUCAUGGAGUGCGACGUCUACUGGUCUAGGCGGUUCCCGCAGCGGACGCUCCUGCAGAAGCUCUCGUACUAACACAAAGGGCUUCGGACCACCCAGCCCUGCUUCCUUCUCUUGGGGCUGCUCGAGUUUGAGCUCAAAGGUUUUCUCUACGUCUUACGACGCCUUCUACAACUAAAAUUUCCGCCCCGUCCACGACGGUCACCGCUCCAUCAAUGUCAUUUAUUUGGGUCUUUCGUCCGGCGACACGGGGCGUGUCGUCUCGGGGCGUGUGGUCUCGGGGUGUGUGGUCUCAUACUUAGGCUACGACUAAGUCUCCUAAGCCUACAAUUCCUACUCUAACCGUGCGUCUGAUGCUCACUAUGUGGACAAUCCUUUAGACGGUCUUGACGACCCUUCUGGAAGUUCAAGCGUCUCGAGCGACCUCCUCUAAGCCGACUUUCACUGUGACUCUAACUCAAACGACUCCUGAACCUACUCUUCUACCUCUCACGUCUUUAAUUCCUUCUUUAGGGUCCACUUCUGUAAUUCCUUCUUUAGGGUUCACUUCUGUAAUUUGGACUUCUAGGAGGUCGUCUCAGAGAAAGAUAGUUCUUCGUUGGUGAACAAGUCCGAUUAAACAGACGGUACAAAUUUUUUCGUCUUCUUUUUUUCUCUGGAUGUUGAUGUUCUUCAGGAUUUCCAAGAGGUCGAUGUUUUCCAGGACGACGAUUCUUCGUCGCUCGUUGAGGUUGCUUUUUUGUCAGUGGUCGCUUCUUCCUUCGUUCGCCUAGAGUCUUUUUCGUUUUUCGUUUCCAUCUUCUUCUACUUUAACUUCUCGAGAGCCUACUAGGGAGAGUCCUACUACUACGUCGAGGACGAUUCUUCGUCGCUCCUUGAGGUUUCCCUUUUGUCAGUCGUCGUUUCUUCCUUCGUUCGCCUAGGGCCUUUUUCUUUUUCGGCUUCCAUCUGCUCCUCGAGAGACUACUUAGGAUAGUCCUGCUGCUGUACCCGCUCCUCCUCCUCCUGCUACUAUCGCUACUGCUGACCCGGCCCAUUCCUCACGGGUCUAGACUGUACGGCACCUUUCCCACCUAGCGCCUACUCGCUGGGAGGGAGGGAGUGACCGCACGCAUCAUCAUCUCGCACGUAUCUCUCACACAAACGAGAAAGAUCGACUCGUCACACUUUUUUUACGAACAAAGAACUACAUGUUAAAGAUCUCGUAGUAGAGUCAGGUACACAUCAUGGCGUCCUUAGGCUAGGACUGGGUGCGCCCAACAUCAUCCUCAACCUUAACGCUCUAUAUUAAGCGAUCCGCACAAACAAACAACAUUAUUGUCCUCGUCUUUAGCAACACUCUAACACGACUAUUUUAGGUCCGGCUCGGGGGUCGCUACACUCCAACACGACUAUUUUAGGUCCAGCCCAGUUAG
This 1885-nucleotide ribosomal RNA is filed under the name Triticum aestivum (bread wheat). RNAcentral's name for it is "partial small subunit ribosomal RNA". The record is from RNAcentral. Lineage: Eukaryota; Viridiplantae; Streptophyta; Magnoliopsida; Poales; Poaceae.